CGGGCGGGGGGCGCGCGUCACGGCGGGCGGGCGGGCGCCCCAAACCCCGGCCCUCCCCGCCCUCCCCGCCCUGGCGCGCGGCCCCGCGGCACCCCGGCCCCACCUCGUCUUUUCCUCUUCUGCCCAUCCUGUUCUUUUAAGGAGCGCGUUUGCGGGUCUAUGAAGAUCGCGAAACCAACCGCGUUGCUGCAAAUAACCCGGCUGCGGCGGCGGGGCCGGGGGGAGGGGAGAGGCCGGCCCGGUUCGGCCCGCACGGCCCCGGGCGCCGGACCUGGUGAGAAUUACUCACCCACACUUCGUGUCGGAGAUUAGCAGCCAUGAAGAAGCAUGGGAUCGCGGCACGUGGGUGUUUUAACCAUUAACUCGCGGCUUCCCAUCUCCAGAUGCCGCCUUUCUCCGCCCUGGCAGAGAGGAGCUUUUGCAGCCUCGCGUGGAGCAAACCAUGUCCUUGCCGGCGACUCAGAUCCACAAAUCUACAGCUAAGCCGCGCCUCCGGGGCCUGCUGGCGCCGGGAUCCCAGCGUCACCGCCCCUGCUGCCCAUCCCUGGGGUGGGAAGAAUACCACCCACUCCUCCCAGUUGCUGGAGGAGAGGCAGGGAGCCAGGCGGCAGCAGGAAGGGAAAACCAGUACCGUUUACUGGUUGGCGGCUGGCUACGAACCUCUCGGGGAGCACAGAGCCUGCGCCUUCAAGGUGCAUCCUCCCCGCUGGCAGCCUGGGCUCCUUACCUGACUGUCCCUCCUCUCUGCCUCCUGGACAGCGGACGCCACCAAGACUCAGAGGCCCCGCGGAUGUCAGGCCCCGCCGCCCUUCCCUGGUGCCUCGGUCAGAGGCAGCUGCGGGUGGGUUAGUGUAACCGUGGGGAGGGCACUCUGGUAAGUCCCGGGCUGGUCUUCCUGGUGGGCAGGGAAGGAAAGCCACACCCAGGGUAAGAUCUACUGAGUGAGGUCCGACAGACCUAUUUACUGCUGGGUGGCUGGUUGGGGGCCCAUUGCUCUGUGUUGGUCUGGGUGCUGGUGGUCUGAGCCC
This 1028-nucleotide long non-coding RNA is filed under the name Sus scrofa (pig). Its description in RNAcentral is "lncRNA (ENSSSCG00045018522.1)". Lineage: Eukaryota; Metazoa; Chordata; Mammalia; Artiodactyla; Suidae. The record is from RNAcentral.